Molecule: ribosomal RNA, 459 nt
Filed under: uncultured bacterium
Lineage: Bacteria
Description: partial 16S ribosomal RNA
Rfam family: Bacterial small subunit ribosomal RNA
Source: RNAcentral
CCUACGGGAGACAGCAGUGAGGAAUAUUGGUCAAUGGCCGAGAGGCUGAACCAGCCAAGUCGCGUGAGGGAAGACGGCCCUACGGGUUGUAAACCUCUUUUGUCGGGGAGCAAAGCGAACCACGUGUGGUUCAUUGAGAGUACCCGAAGAAAAAGCAUCGGCUAACUCCGUGCCAGCAGCCGCGGUACUACGGAGGCUGCGAGCGUUAGCCGGAUUGAUUGGGUUAAAAGGGUGCGCAGGCGGAGGUGCAAGUCAGCGGUAAAAUUGCGGGGCUCAACCCCGUACUGCCGUUGAAACUGCAUCCCUUGAGUGCGCGAGAAGUAUGCGGAAGGCGUGGUGUAGCGGUGAAAUGCAUAGAUAUCACGAAGAACUCCGAUGGCGAAGGCAGCAUACCGGCGCGCAACUGACGCUCAUGCACGAAAGCGUGGGUAUCGAACAGGAUUAGAUACCCUAGUAGUC